GAGUGGCUGAGCGGUAGAGCGGGGGGCUGCGCUGCCGUAGGUCGUGGGUUCGAAUCUCAGUGGCAACA
Molecule: transfer RNA, 68 nt
Filed under: Perkinsus olseni
Lineage: Eukaryota; Perkinsozoa; Perkinsida; Perkinsidae
Description: tRNA-Arg
Source: RNAcentral